RNAcentral lists this long non-coding RNA (581 nucleotides) under Phasianus colchicus (ring-necked pheasant). Its description in RNAcentral is "lncRNA (ENSPCLG00000003960.1)". Lineage: Eukaryota; Metazoa; Chordata; Aves; Galliformes; Phasianidae. The record is from RNAcentral.
UACAGUCCUUCAGGAGCAAGAUGUGAUGGUGGUGUGUCAAUGCCUUGUAUGAGACAACACUGGAGAGCUGGCAUCUCUUCCUCCAGCAGGAUGACAAUCUCAGCUAGUGGCCAAAUAGAGCAGCAGAGUCUUAUUUCUCUCGGGAUGGAAAACUUCUCUGUGGGGCUCCUGGUUGCAAGGAUAAGGCUGCUGUAAUGGAGCGUAUUGGUUUGUUUGUAAAGUAAAAUAACAUUCCUAAGAACCAUGAAGUUCUCCAAAAGUCUUCCAGCAGGAAUAGUGAUGAUAAAAUGAUAAAGUUCACUACUUUUAUGAUGGACUUCAACUUCACAUUAUUCUUUUCCCUCAGUGCUCCAUGACCUUUGCAAAGAGCAAAAGAGAAAAGCAUUAUUUAUUCAUUACUUAAAGUAAAAGGCUUAACAGAGCAAGAGCACAAUGGCACUCUUCAGUCUUUUACUCUGAACUGUAACGGUACAAAUCAGAGGACUGAUUUUACAAAAUCUAUUUAUCUUUCUUUUUAAAUAUGGAUGUCUAUAAAUGCUCUGCUAACCUGUACCUGCAAAUUCCACUCAAAUCUAUGGUCA